UGAAAAGAAAGAUCGUACUAAGAUCUUGCACAGACAUAAUCUAAAUGGGAUUCAAAGAGAGGUGUCAGGCCAGAGCUCCCACUCUGUCUCCAUUUGUGCUCUCCAGCCUGGGCACCAAGGACAACACACAAAUAAAACAGAGCUUCCCUCACCUGUCAUCACAGAUCACCUGUUUUGUAAGUGCUCCAGCUUGCCAGGAAAUGGUCUUCAAGGAGAAAGCAGACAGAACCAAACACCAAAAGACCCAGAGAAUACUGCUAUGUAAUAAGCAUUCAUUGGAGAGAGAAAUAGAGAUAAGAGGGAAAUUUACAGAACAGAAGCUUCAUAUUUGAUCAUCUCCAGCCUUCUUCUCUGGGUACCUGUGUGGCUGUAAGGAAUUUAAGGAUUCUAAGUAAGCUCUCAUCCUUAGUCUGUUAUUUCCAACUUGGCUCAGCAUCUCUCCUCUGGCACCCAAAGCUCCUGCCCUUACCGCCUUCAUCUUUCAGCACACAAAAUGAUCCUUGUCUUCUCCCAACUAGCGUAAAGUCAAGGGUUGAAGCAUAUUCAUCUUUAGCCCCAGGGCCAAUAAAGGCACAAGUACAUUGUUGGUGCUCAACAAAUGCUUAAGAAAUUAAAAUGGACAAAGCUUGAGAGAUCUCUGAACAUCAAUAAAAAUAUCUAGUUGUUAACAUAAAAUGAUGAAUUCAUGCCAGAACCUAAAGUUAAUGCUGUGGGCCCUAGAGCAAUAGUGUGGAUAUUGUCACCAAGGUCAUGCUCCCAUACACCAAGGUCAUCUUCCCUGGUCUGGUGCUUCUGGUAUCAUUCUGCACAUUGAACCUCUUUGGUUGAAGGCUGCUAAGGGAACAUUGAAGAACACAGCACAUUGUGAGGAAAAGGAAUAUAUUGAAUUAGGCUUUAAAGACUUGGCUUAAAGAAAUGGUGCUGAAUAAAUAUUUACUCAUUUGAACUGAA
Non-coding RNA from Ictidomys tridecemlineatus (thirteen-lined ground squirrel), 951 nucleotides. NCBI's taxonomy places the organism in Eukaryota, Metazoa, Chordata, Mammalia, Rodentia, Sciuridae. The record is from RefSeq and is a predicted model, not a curated record.